Long non-coding RNA from Brienomyrus brachyistius, 1651 nucleotides. RefSeq lists it as uncharacterized. The record is from RefSeq and is a predicted model, not a curated record. The transcript has 3 exons. NCBI's taxonomy places the organism in Eukaryota, Metazoa, Chordata, Actinopteri, Osteoglossiformes, Mormyridae.
UCCUGCACGGAGCAAGAAAGAAGGCAUUAAAUAUCCGGAAGAUAAUAAGACGUAUAUCCAGUAGCACCACAAAAACAGAUGGCAAGUAAGACACCAAACCAAUAACCAAGGACAGCGUCUUACCUUCAGGACUCUUCUCACGAUUCCCUAGUGAGAUGAGAAGCCGGUGCGGUGGAUGACACAGGGUCGCUGAUGUGAGCACGCUCCUGACCUGACAGUGACCCAGGCAGGCCACUGCCAGCUUCCAACAAGAGGCAGACGCACUCCCAGACGCGGCUAAACAAGGAACCGUAAUCCCUCUCACUGAACAAUGACGUCGCUGGCAUUGAAACACGGAGUAACCGCGAGCAUGCAAUUGGUGUGUUUGGGAAGCAGAGUGCUUGAGGUGCUGCCGCUUACAUAUCCGCACAGUCGGGCCCGGAUGCGAGUGAGUGCAUGCACUGAGGGAUCAUGCAAAAGAUCAGGCAGGUCACAACGUUGGGUAUCACCACCUACAGAGCACCGCACAUCCUCUGCCGCGAGCCAAAGAGCAUCUCCACCCACGCAGGCGGCCCGGCUCCUGCGUGCUGCUCUCACAUCAUCUGCCAACGGGGACCUUCCAUGUGAGCACUCUCCAUCGGGGCGUACAGAGCUCUUCACCGCAUGUCACUUCUGUUUGUGCAGGUUGCCUGAAGACAUUCAGUUGAUUUAUAUGUUCUAAACAUACAUACCAUAUGUAUAAAAUAAUAUACAGGCAGUCACCAGGAUAGAACGUCCAACUUACGGACAACUCAUGUGUACACACAGUUUGCCAUAAAACAUAUUAUAGUAAAAUUUGAGUUAUUUAACAGUUAUAUACAAUAGUUCAUAGUAAUGAAUACACGCACAGCUUGUGAUGCUCAUGGAGAUACUGCGUGCCUUCAGCAGAUCAUCGACUUGACAUUCAAUACAGUACUGUAUUAUAGUUACUUUUAUUAUUACUGUAUUAUUAUUAUUACUAUCCUUGUUGUUAUAUACUGUAUUAUUAUUACGGUCCUUGUUUUUGUUAUAUUCUGUUUUAUUAUUACUAUCCUUGUUGUUGUAUAAUGUAUUAUUACUAUCCUUGUUUUUAUAUAAUGUAUUAUUAUUACUAUCCUUGUUAUAUAAUGUAUUAUUAUUAUUAUGACUAUCCUUCUUGUUGUUAUAUACUGUAUUAUUAUUACGUUCCUUGUUUUUGUUAUAUUCUGUUUUAUUAUUACUAUCCUUGUUGUUGUAUAAUGUAUUAUUACUAUCCUUGUUUUUAUAUAAUGUAUUAUUAUUACUAUUCUUUUUGUUGUUAUAUACUGUAUUAUUAUUACUAUCCUUGUUGUUAUAUACUGUAUUAUUAUUACUAUCCUUGUUAUAUAAUGUAUUAUUAUUAUUAUUAUUACUAUCCUUGUUAUUAUAUACUGUAUUAUUAUUAUUACUAUCCUUGUUGUUGUUAUAUACUGUAUUAUUAUUAUUACUAUCCUUGUUGUUGUUAUAUACUAUAUUAUCAUUACUAUCCUUGUUGUUAUAUAAUGUAUUAUUAUUAUUACUAUCCUUGUUGUUGUUGUUAUAUACUGUAUUAUUAUUUUUCCGACAGACUUGGCGAACAAAUCUUGUUAGUACCCUGGGGGCUGCCUGUAUAUGAAAUUAAACCCUAACCCCCGCA